Molecule: unclassified non-coding RNA, 1199 nt
Filed under: Hevea brasiliensis (rubber tree)
Lineage: Eukaryota; Viridiplantae; Streptophyta; Magnoliopsida; Malpighiales; Euphorbiaceae
Source: RNAcentral
UUUUUUUUUUUUUUGGUAUAUUUGAAAUUAUCUGAAUCUUAAUUUUAAUUUUUCUUUAAAAAAAAAAACGCUUUGGCAUAAAUUUUUGUUAAAUAUGUGAAUUAGAAAAUGUUGCUGCCUUCUUCUACACCCGAUCUUCGCUAUCUCCGACUGUGGAGUCACUAGCUUGUCUACUUUAAUGGGAAAGCAUCCUUUUGUCUCCAAUUUCACCACCGGAGUCUCACCUUAGUUCCGAGCGCAGAAUUGCCAAGAUUGCCUGUAAUUCGGUGCUCGGUAACAAAUUCCAACGGCGGCGAAACCUUCAAAACAUGCAAGAACUGCAAAACCCAAUUCGACCCUUCUCUCAAUCACCCUCGCGCUUGUCGCUUCCAGGCUGCCCGUUUUGGAGGUAACCCACAUCCACUCUCAAGACUUCAGUAGUUUCUAAUUGACUAGCGUGAUGUCAGAUGAUCUAUUAAUUAACGCUUUCCUCGCUCUGUAAGUGGAUAUUAAUUGGAAUCUUGCGUUGGAAGGGUAAUGGAUUGAAUGCACGCAAAUUGCAAUGUACCGGAAUUGAUAUAGUAAUCCCAUCUGCAUUGGCACUAGGACUGAAUUAGGUGGAGUUGAGUUCAGUUUUUCAAGAUUUGCAUGUGGGCAUUGGAUUGUUGACACGGGAUGAAUUUGUUUCUGCGAUUGUUUCUAGUAUAAAGAAUAUCUUGAAGAUGUAUUUUUUUGUUUUUUUUCCUGUAAUUUUGCUUUUCCUACAGACCAUGUUUGCUAAUGUUUGUACCUUGCUCCGAAUUUACCUUUUUUAGGGGAAACAAAGAGGAAGUUUGAGAGUGUGUACACUGGUGGCAUAAUGGAUACUCCUCACUCGUUUUUCAGUAUUGGCAUUGCUGUGGAUCUGAAGAUCCUUUUGACCCUGGGUCUGCUGCUGCUCCUUACUCGUCUUAUGAUGACUGAUAUAGUUGACAAUCUUUCUACAAACAAAACAAAGUUCUGUUCUUUGGUAUGAAACUCUCAAUUGUUGCUUACAUGUGCUUUCCAUUUGUAAAUGCUCAACGGCAUAUAUUUUUUUGCCUGCCCUCGUACCAUUAAAUGUAACAAAAUAAAGUUAAAAACCUAGAUGCUCAAAUUGGCCACAUAUGUUCUUUCUAACAUGAAUGAUUGCUCUAUAUUGUGAACUUACCAAUUUGGAAGUAAAACUAAUCAGAUUCAAC